AAAGGAAGAAGUGUGGGUAGAGUUAGUGCCCACAAGCGCUGGUGGGAGCCAGAGCCUGCAAAGUGGGAGCCUGUUUGCCUUUGCCUUCUGGGGUCUGGUGCGUGCUGUGUCUGCCCUUGAGGAACGGGGGCCUCUGGAGAGACAGGAGCCACUGCCAAGCCCCAGCCCAGGAGGGAAGGCAUCCAGACCUCGCUGCCUCUCACCCAGCCAAAGCUGGAGGCAGGGAGAGGUCCCUGGGGCCGCUCGAGGCCAGCCUCCCUAGCACAGGGCUGGAGCAGCCGGUGGACAGUUCGCCUUUUGCCUCUCAAAUCAUUUCCUAUCACUGAGUCCCCACCCCAUCCUCCCCACAGAUCCCACCCUCCCCCAAAAACCACCUCUGCGUUUAGGUGGCCCACCCAGCUACACUGAUUGGCUUGGGCUCGGUUAAUCCAAAGUAGACUCCAUUUCAGCCAAAACCAGGCAAACUCUGCAAACAAAAUUUAUAAAGAAAAAUUUAUAUAAAACCAAACAUGCAAUCCGUAUCGAAGAGAACUGGCUCGAGAUGACCCAUUUGCUUUGGGUCGUCUCACGGGUGCCUGCUCGUGUGGAAGACAAGGCUCUGAGUUCAUUAUUGUGCGUGUGCUUGGAAUUAGAAUUAAGGACUGUCACGUGGAGAUACAUGUCAAUAGACACACCCACACGGGAAAGGACCUGUAAAGGCAUACCCUUGGCUUUGCCAAGUUAGGAAUUAUCUUACUGGGCCCGGCUUCGGAGGCGGGACCGUCGGUGGGAAGGGAGGAGAAUCUUCCUGUUCAUCAUUGACUCAAGGCUCACGUGGCUUUUUCUCCUGCAAGCACCGAUGCUCUCUGUAACACCAACGUGUUUCUAAGACUGCUGACGGUCCAGGCAGCCCUGGGGGCAUGUGUCGCCUGGGACUCACUGCUCUCCAGGCCCCCUGGUUCUUUGUAAUGUGGACAGGCUUUCUCUAAGUGGCCAGGUGAGGAUGCAGGGUGGCACGGGGGAGAGGAACAGGCUACAGAGGGACUCGCACAGCCACAGCUCCCUUUUGGACUGACAGACCUGUUCUCCGCCCCCCCACCACCAAGGCCCCCCUAGCUCCCCAGGCCCUGGGGCAGCUGUAAGGAACACCUAGGUCCCUUCAUCACUCGUUCCAAACACCACCCCAGGGCCCGCCCUCCUUGCUGGAGGCCUGCCUGUUCUGGUUCAGCACCCCGUCCCUACCAGCCAGGGUCCCAGAAACCCCCUCUGGGUGGCCUCCCUGUGCAUGCCAGGCUGCCGUGGGACGAUGACAGGGAGGAAGAGGGAAGGGACAGGUUUCUGAUUCUUCUCCCCUAGAAACCCUGCCUGGGACCUUAGUGUCCAGAGGGAGGAAGAGAAGAGACUCCUGCCCCUGGGGAGCUUCCAGUCUGCUGGGGAGCACGGAGUGGGUGCAGACACACCCACACACCCACACCCACACCCACACACACCCCCACGAGAGCAGGUCCAAAAGAGAAACCCCGUAAAGGCCAGCCCAGACUCCUCCGCCCUGCAGAGUGACACACCUUGGUGACCGUGGAGCAAAGGCAGGGGUGGAGCCCAGAUAAAUGCAUUUGAGCUUGUAAACAUCAAACUUUCUAGAAAGAAACCGUGACGUGGAUUCUGGAGAGAUGCAUUUCCGAAGCUUCUGGGUGAUCCCCUCACCCUCCCCGGAGCUGCAGUAAGCCAGGACAAGGGCUUCCCAGAAGGGCCACCUCCCUCCCACACACAUAGCUGGGAGCCCAGCGAGCCUGAGAGGUGGGCAGGGUCCUGAGCUUCCUUCCGAGGCCCAGGUGUCUGUCAGGCAGGCCUGGCUCUCAGGCCUGGGAUGCACGGCGCUCCUCUCAGAAUCCCCUCUCCAGCUCAGCUCUGGGGCCUUCCAACCCUCACACCCUGUUCCUCCUGGUGCCGAGAAAGUCUGGUCCCCCUGGAGCCACCUGAGGCCACUCCCCAGCACUGCCUGGCCAGGACCCACGUCAUCCUCUGAGCCUGGACUCAGAGCUCCCGCGACUGAGAAGGUUCAACUGGGAGCUUGGUUUACCCACUUUCUGUACAGGCUGGUCCAGGCCUCCACCUGUCCGACAGUGAACCUGGGGUCGGAUCAAACAGAGGGGUGCUGAGCACAAGAAGGCUGAGAAGUGCCUUGUGGGAAACACAGGUAUGCGGGGGAAGCUUUGUUCUCACGUGAAGCCAGUUUAUCCGCGUCUUCGGAGCCCUGCCCCGUCGGUGGGGUCUGUGCUUAUUAGGGCUUAGGAGGAUGGGUGAACGAGAGCGCCUGAGGCCGGGCAUGUGUCCAGUCCUGUGUCAGCUCUAGGUGGGCGUGGGGGUCCCUACUGGCCCAGGGCCCUGCUGCAGAGCUGAGCGCUCAGCUUCCGGCCUACCAUGGGCCCAGCUCUGCGGCUCAUCCUCUGCAAACUGUGCAAAUUCUGCAGAGCGGCUGGGGGCUCCUCCAGCCCAGGCCCAGGCCCUUGGAGGAUGCCCAGGACAGAGCAGGGCGAUAGCGGAGGGAGGCUUGUGGCUGCAGACUGUCCCUCCCCUGCCUGUCCUCAGAGAACCCCCCCCACCGGCCCCCCGCUUGGCUCAGGUGUGAGUUACGAUGUUGUCGGCUCCGAGUUCAACAUGAAUGAAUCAAUGGAUUAAAGUGUCUUUAAACAGAAA
Molecule: long non-coding RNA, 2676 nt
Organism: Phacochoerus africanus (Common warthog)
Lineage: Eukaryota; Metazoa; Chordata; Mammalia; Artiodactyla; Suidae
Exons: 2
Source: RefSeq, a predicted model, not a curated record